RNAcentral lists this ribosomal RNA (336 nucleotides) under uncultured bacterium. RNAcentral's name for it is "bacterial SSU rRNA". It matches the Rfam family "Bacterial small subunit ribosomal RNA", at positions 32 to 361 of the family's 1533-position model. The record is from RNAcentral.
AAUCAACGCUGGCGGCGUGCCUCAGACAUGCAAGUCGAACGAUUAAACUUUCCUUCGGGAAAGAUAUAAAGUGGCGCACGGGUGAGUAACACGUAGGUAAUGUACCUUUGGGUGGGGAAGUAACUUAGGGAAACUUAAGCUAAUACCGCAUAAUGCGAUAACUUCUUCGGAAGAUUUUGUUAAAGAUUAUCGCCUGAAGAGCAGCCUGCGGCAGAUUAGCUAGUUGGUAAGGUAACGGCUUACCAAGGCUACGAUCUGUAUCCGACCUGAGAGGGUGGUCGGACACACUGACACUGAAUAACGGGUCAGACUCCUACGGGAGGCAGCAGUCGGGAA